This is a long non-coding RNA of Physella acuta, 568 nucleotides long. RefSeq lists it as uncharacterized. NCBI's taxonomy places the organism in Eukaryota, Metazoa, Mollusca, Gastropoda, Physidae. The record is from RefSeq and is a predicted model, not a curated record.
GGGGUGACACCAAGGCAAAAAAUUGCAAAAUAUACAGAAGAAAAAUGUUGUUUUGCCAGUCCCAUUAAUGAUUAAUUAAAGUUAAAUAGUCUUUUAAGUACAAAUUGACAAUUAUUACCAGAGGGUGGGGGUGAUACCAUGUCGUAAAGGUACUAAAGUACUAACUAUAGAGAAAACAUUGCUACAUCCAAGUUCCAACUGUAUUAUUAACAGACUAAAGAUAAACCUCGUUACUUGGGUGACACCCGAUCUAGCGAUGCCAUUGGGCCUUAGACGUAAGCACUUUAUUUAAAUUUUUACUAAUUUCAAAACUUUAAUCUUCAGGUUCUCUCAACAUGGAGACAGGAAUAAGACAGACACAGGGACAAAGAUACCAACAAUGUUCUAGAACACUGCAAUCAACUGAUUUACAACCCUCUGUAUUCAAGUGGUUAGAGUACUACCAUGUGUUUUGUGCUUAUGGGUUUAUGAUUACAGUAAAAAAUAAAACCAAGUGCUGUGAUAGGUUGAAACAAACCAGCUUCCUUUCAGGUCCAUGGGACAGAUGGAGAGAUCAUGAGUUUCUCUG